CGUAGGGUGCGAGCGUUAAUUGGAAUUACUGGGCGUAAAGCGUGCGCAGGCGGUUUUGUAAGCCAGAUGUGAAAUCCCCGGGCUUAACCUGGGAAUGGCAUUUGGGACUGCAAGGCUUGAGUGCGGCAGAGGAGACUGGAAUUCCCGGUGUAGCAGUGAAAUGCGUAGAUAUCGGGAGGAAUACCGAUGGCGAAGGCAGGUCUCUGGGCUGACACUGACGCUCAUGCACGAAAGCGUGGGGAGCAAACAGGAUUAGAUACCCUGGUAGUCCACGCCCUAAACGAUGUCGACUGGUUGUUGGGGGUUUGACACUCUCAGUAACGAAGCUAACGCGUGAAGUCGACCGCCUGGGGAGUACGGCCGCAAGGUUA
Molecule: ribosomal RNA, 371 nt
Filed under: uncultured organism
Description: bacterial SSU rRNA
Rfam family: Bacterial small subunit ribosomal RNA
Source: RNAcentral